AUUGAACGCUGGCGGAAUGCUUUACACAUGCAAGUCGAACGGCAGCACGGGGGCAGCCCUGGUGGCGAGUGGCGAACGGGUGAGUAAUACAUCGGAACGUGCCCGGUCGUGGGGGAUAACGUAGCGAGAGUUACGCUAAUACCGCAUACGAUCUGAGGAUGAAAGCGGGGGACCUUCGGGCCUCGCGCGAUCGGAGCGGCCGAUGUCAGAUUAGGUAGUUGGUGGGGUAAAGGCCUACCAAGCCGACGAUCUGUAGCUGGUCUGAGAGGACGACCAGCCACACUGGGACUGAGACACGGCCCAGACUCCUACGGGAGGCAGCAGUGGGGAAUUUUGGACAAUGGGCGCAAGCCUGAUCCAGCCAUUCCGCGUGCAGGACGAAGGCCUUCGGGCUGUAAACUGCUUUUGUACGGAACGAAAAGGCUCUGGCUAAUACCUGGGGCUCAUGACGGUACCGUAAGAAUAAGCACCGGCUAACUACGUG
Molecule: ribosomal RNA, 484 nt
Filed under: uncultured bacterium
Lineage: Bacteria
Description: partial 16S ribosomal RNA
Rfam family: Bacterial small subunit ribosomal RNA
Source: RNAcentral